RNAcentral lists this small nuclear RNA (20 nucleotides) under Arabidopsis thaliana (thale cress). RNAcentral's name for it is "snRNA_10415". The record is from RNAcentral. Lineage: Eukaryota; Viridiplantae; Streptophyta; Magnoliopsida; Brassicales; Brassicaceae.
AGAUGCUUCGUGGCGGUGUA